Molecule: non-coding RNA, 781 nt
Organism: Paramuricea clavata
Lineage: Eukaryota; Metazoa; Cnidaria; Anthozoa; Malacalcyonacea; Plexauridae
Source: the annotation of a GenBank genome assembly
UUAAGAUGGGUGUACUACAAAACUAUAUUGACUGAAGUUUUGGAAACAUUUAACUAAAUUUUGAAGGAUUGACUUGCAAACUGUGAUUCAGUAUCAUGGAAUUUUACACUUCUGGAGAAGUUGUGGCUCUGUUAGUGCCAUUUCUUUCAUUGUUUAUAUAUCUUGCUUUUAAGCAUUGCUCGCUUAUAAAAUCUUUCAAUUCCUUAGGGCCUGUUUAUAUGAUCCCGCCUAGAUGGGACGGGACGUUUUCAUCCCGCCAAGACAGGAUACUCGCCUAGUGUUUAUAUGGACAAAAUACAUUGCCGGGAUGAAACCAUUCGGUGCUUGACGUCAUAUUUUUGUUGCAAUAAAGGCAUUUACGCAUGCCCAAAAGGGAAAAAUUCAUUCCGCCUAACCGGGAUGAAGUGUUUAUAUGGGAAUUUUUCAUCCCGGCUAGGCGGGAUGAAGUGUUUUUAUAUGGGAAUUUUUCAUCUCGCUUAGGCAGGAUCCCGGCAUCUGUUGCCGAAAUCCAGUCUAGGCGGGAUAAGUGGCGGGAUCAUAUAAACACUCUUUAGCAUUUGUAUUACGAGCGGGAUCUCGGUAAGCAUCCCGUCCGCCUGGCUGGGAUCAUAUAAACAGGCCCCUAAUCUCAUCCCAUGAUACUGAAUCACAGUUUGUAAGGCCCCAUUUACAUGAGACCAGGAUGAAACCAACCUGGAAUGAAAAUUGAAAUUGCAUGUCAACAUGUUUACAUGAGACCAGUAUGAAAAUCACAAAAUUUUCAAUUUAUUCCCCUUGCCAG